Long non-coding RNA from Photinus pyralis (common eastern firefly), 838 nucleotides. RefSeq lists it as uncharacterized. The record is from RefSeq and is a predicted model, not a curated record. The transcript has 2 exons. Lineage: Eukaryota; Metazoa; Arthropoda; Insecta; Coleoptera; Lampyridae.
GAUAUCGUCAUGUUGGCUUGUUAUUCUUGAAACUCAAAUUUCUGCAGUUGGAAAAAACGAGAAUGUGAGUAACAUUUAACGAAACAAAAAAUUGUGAUACGGAACAGAAGAGUUCUGCAUGACCUUUUUAUGAGUUCUCGCAAUGAUCCUCCUCGAAUUGAGUGCGCGUCAAAAUGGCGUUGUCACGGAGACGUGUGGAACCAUAAAUUCGUAAGUAAUUAUUGCUGGUUUAGCCAGUUUUUAUCGGGCCUUCAGCGGUAACCCAGGGCAGUGUCUUAACACUUUGAAACUCCCAACUACCCAUUGGAAAAGAGUUCAAAUUUGACCAUUGUUUCCAUUAACUUUAAGGUAAUUUGAUCGCUUUUGCUUCUGAAUUCAUUUUUCAUUGCGCCUAACGACCGAAAGCGAAACUAAAACGCAUUUUAGUAACAAACACCACAAAGUUUAAGUGGACACCAGGUAAGAUAAUCUGUGAUGAACGAAAUUCGAUAAGAUUUCGCCUCUUGAAUGUGCUAUAAAAGCGUAGCCUUUUUAUCGUGAUUAAGUAUAUACAGAACUCAACAUGAUUAAGCUACUGAUCGUGACUGUUCUACUAAUGGUAUUAGUUGGCAUGGUAGUAGCAAAAAAAAGAAAUUGCAAAGAAGGCUGUUAUUGCACCUGGAAAGGAUGUAGUGCAGGCGAAGACGUAUGCGGCGUCUGUGCGAAUCAUAAAACUGAAUGCUGCAAGGAAUAACAAGAAGCCUGGGGGCAAUGAAAUAACCAACUUCGUUCCUACAAAAUACGCUUGCAUUAAUUAUACAUUGAAUGUAAAUAAUUAAAUAAAUCAUAUAAUAUAAAA